UGCCGUCCGUUUUAUAGUUGAAGCAAGCUAGGCAGAUUAUCAAAGUGUCAUAGAUACGGUGAUUGGGUGAAGGAUCUCAAGCUGCUGCUGCUGUGAUUUGACUCUACUGCAGUUGUUAUUGUGAUUACGGUAAACCGAAUUUUAUGGGUUUGAUUUCCAUUUGAUGAACCAUCUGUGAGUUGUUGAUAAAAGGAAAUGUGAGCUUAGUUUUGUUACAUGUCGUGAUUUGAAUACGGGUUCCAGCUUAGUAAUCUAUUAUGCAGAAUGAUUUUUUUUUUCUUUUUCGGUCACAAAGUCCUGGAUUCUAUUCUUUUUAAGUUUAGUUAAAACAUUUUACUCACUAGUUAAUUGCAGGAAGCAUGAUUGUUUGAUUACAGGUUUUUUUUUGCAUACAUGGUUUAGACCAAAUGGUUAUCAGUAUUUCUGGAUUUGAAUUGAAAUAAGUCAAGACUAAUGUUUACAUAAGUUAUGACUUAGUAAGAGAUCGAUUUAAGCUUAUUUCAUAGUUUUGAUGACAGUAUUUGACAUAUUUGGAUAAUGUGGGUN
RNAcentral lists this long non-coding RNA (546 nucleotides) under Lathyrus oleraceus (garden pea). RNAcentral's name for it is "Pisum sativum (pea) long non-coding RNA (PSAT_LNC006641)". The record is from RNAcentral. Lineage: Eukaryota; Viridiplantae; Streptophyta; Magnoliopsida; Fabales; Fabaceae.